UGGCACAGAGUCGCUCCGUUUCUCUGCCUUUAACUCCAUCAGAAUGUAACAGAUCCCAGCGUCAAUGAAAUGCCAAUUAGCCGGUAAAUUUACGAGCGUAUGCCAUGGUCUGUCCCGAUGACACUAUGCUCCCAAGUAUCAUGCGUGAAAGGCACAGAUGCAGUUUUGGGGACUUAAUCAUGCCUGAAAUGAUGUCGCAUUUUAUUUACAUCACUGCAUCAAGAGGAGUCAUUCACUGACACUUGAUGAUGGAGCCCGAAUACGUGCUACGCCGACCCACUGUGCGAGAGAGGACCAUCAAAGUCAUCCACUUAAGUGCACGCUUCUGCGUCAUUGCGUUGUGCAUUGGUUUACUAUGCACUAUUUUGCAAAAUUCCGAACGGAGAUAUGAAGAGCACGAUGAUGCCCAGGUGUACACUGCAACAGAAACAGUUGAUAAAACAAGACUUGAAAUCACCGUCUGCCCAUUCCCAGCAAUUGAACCAUCGAAGAUAUUGAAUUUUGGUCGCUAUUACAAGAUCGCUACCAAUGUCGAUUUUAACACAUUUGAUAUGGAAAAUUCACUUU
This is a long non-coding RNA of Pollicipes pollicipes, 567 nucleotides long. RefSeq lists it as uncharacterized. The transcript is spliced from 3 exons. Lineage: Eukaryota; Metazoa; Arthropoda; Thecostraca; Pollicipedomorpha; Pollicipedidae. The record is from RefSeq and is a predicted model, not a curated record.